Molecule: non-coding RNA, 30 nt
Filed under: Homo sapiens (human)
Lineage: Eukaryota; Metazoa; Chordata; Mammalia; Primates; Hominidae
Source: RNAcentral
UGCAUGUAGAUGGACUGGGGCUGUCAGUGU